GUGCCGUUUAAAGCAAACCGAUCAAGAAAGUGGCACGACCCUCUGAGGCUCUGACCAGCCGAUUUUGUACUUAUCCCGAGUUGCAGUGACUAAGACGCCAGACGUUACCCCUAUCUUAACGUCCAGAAUUUUUCGAGUUGUGACUCAAAGAGUUACUCCAGUUAAGCCGUUAGGAGUUACCCUAGUUAUGACGUCAGAAGUGUUCGGUCGUAACGUCAGGAAGUGCCGGUCCGCAAAGCGUGGAGUUACCCUGGACGUCAGGAGUUACGGUACCCCUUUCGCGACGUCCAAUUUCUCACGGCAGUGAAGUCAGGAUUACCUACACUGGUUGUAACAUCAAACAUUUUCUCUGUGACGACACUUCCGGCUGCGACGUCAGAAGUUACGGUACCCAAUUUAUGACUCUAGGAGCCAACCUCGCUGUGACGUCGAGAGUGGUUCCGAUUGUCACGUCAAGAGUCGUCCGGGCUUAGACGUCUGGAGUUGUUUCGGCUGUUACAUCUAGAGUUAUUUGGGCUGUGACGUUAAAGGUUGCCCAGGCUCUGACUCCAGAAGCCAACCUCGCUUUGACGUCGAGAGUUGUUCCUGUUGUGACAUCAAGCGUCGUCUGAGGUGGAACGCCUGGAGUUGUCCCGACUGUGACAUCAAGAGUCAUCCAGGCUGUGACAUCAAGAGUCAUCCAGGCUGUGACAUCAAGAGUUGUCCCGACUGUGACAUCAAGAGUCAUCCAGGCUGUGAUAUCAAGCGUUGUUUCGGGUGUGACAUCAAGAGUUGCCCUAACUACGACGGCAGUUGUUACCCCGGUUGUGUCGUCAGAGGCACCCUAGUCGUGACGCAAGGAUGGGAUUUCUGCGGGCGCUGUGGAUCCUGACGUACAAGAACGUGCGGUUCCGGGCGCGGCACUGGCUGUUCACGGUGGGCGAGGUGGCGGUGCCGCUGCUCCUGUUCUACGCGGUGGUCUACGCCAAGAAGUCCUACCCGACGGUCUUCGGGCAGAGUGUGCGCAAGAACGAAACGUUCUUCCCGCCGGUAAGCGAGCAGACCCUCUUCCAGGAGCCCUUCCUCCAGGGCACCCUCCACCUCCUCUACACCCCGCCCACCAACUUCACCACCGACCUCAUCCAACUCGUCGCCGUCAUCCUCAAAACACGCAGCUAUUCCAAGGUUUCUGUUUCGGUGGUCGGUGUGGCGGACGAGUCAGAGAUGGAGUCGCGGUUCUUCAAGCUGUACCACAACAAGAGCCGAGAGCUGGCGACCAACCCGAACGCCAGCCUCCCCAGCGGCCUGGGCAUCGUGUUCCAGGACCUGCCCUUCGACGGGUGCGAGCCCCUCCACCUCAACUACAAGAUCAGGCCCGCCUCCAACCAGUUCAACACCGAGGAGCUCUUCCAAGAGUCCGAGAUCCCUGCCGAACAAAACUCUCCGUACGUGAGGAACAGUUUUUUGCCCGUCUACUUGGCGCUGAAUUUCGCCUACAUCUAUCAAAAACUGGCGCCUUCAUGCCGAGAGUAAGAUCCUCUUGAAUCUCAAUGUCACUUAAUGUCUUGGUGUAGAUAACUUUGUAGUAGUAUAGUAGGACUUAAAUAGAGCGAAAGUUGGAAAAGUUCAUCGCGACGCGCUGAAGUCCGAGGUGGUAUAUGUCUUUGGGUGGUAUACGGUAGCGGUAGGAGCGCAUAUCAGUCGGAACACUGCCGUCAAUUUCAAUUUCGCGCCGAUGCGCUGGGUGCAAACGACCAAUCAAAAUUUUUGGCGCAAAGACAAGCUCCGCCUCGCGCACGGCGCGAAAUUCAAAUUGACGGCAGUGUUCCAACUGAGCGCUCUUGCCAAAUGCCACCGCGGACUCCAGCGAGUCGCUAAAAUUUGAUUCUCAUAAUUAUCUCAAGUAUCACCUCGUACAUUUUUCAAUUUUUCUCGGUAAGUUUAUUGAUAUACUAAACCUUAUCACUUCUACAAUGUUGUAUUUUUUAGCUAGCUUUAAACCGUAUUAGCACGAGCAUUAA
RNAcentral lists this long non-coding RNA (2000 nucleotides) under Bemisia tabaci. RNAcentral describes it as "lncRNA ENSSSA3NGG002461". Lineage: Eukaryota; Metazoa; Arthropoda; Insecta; Hemiptera; Aleyrodidae. The record is from RNAcentral.